CCCGACGACAAGAGUGCUGUGGUCCUACCUGACCCCAUACCGAACUCAGAAGUAAAACGCAGUAACGUCGAUGGUAGUGUGGUGAUUCGCCAUGUGAGAGUAGAUCGCCAUGUGAG
This 116-nucleotide ribosomal RNA is filed under the name Mannheimia haemolytica. The record is from RNAcentral. Lineage: Bacteria; Pseudomonadati; Pseudomonadota; Gammaproteobacteria; Pasteurellales; Pasteurellaceae.